This 491-nucleotide ribosomal RNA is filed under the name uncultured bacterium. Its description in RNAcentral is "partial 16S ribosomal RNA". It matches the Rfam family "Bacterial small subunit ribosomal RNA", at positions 29 to 506 of the family's 1533-position model. The record is from RNAcentral.
AGUGAACGCUGGCGGUAGGCCUAACACAUGCAAGUCGAACGGCAGCACAGUAAGAGCUUGCUCUUACGGGUGGCGAGUGGCGGACGGGUGAGGAAUACAUCGGAAUCUACUUUUUCGUGGGGGAUAACGUAGGGAAACUUACGCUAAUACCGCAUACGACCUACGGGUGAAAGCAGGGGAUCUUCGGACCUUGCGCGAUUGAAUGAGCCGAUGUCGGAUUAGCUAGUUGGCGGGGUAAAGGCCCACCAAGGCGACGAUCCGUAGCUGGUCUGAGAGGAUGAUCAGCCACACUGGAGCUGAGACACGGUCCAGACUCCGACGGGAGGCAGCAGUGGGGAAUAUGGGACAAUGGGCGCAAGCCUGAUCCAGCCAUACCGCGUGGGUGAAGAAGGCCUUCGGGUUGUAAAGCCCUUUUGUUGGGAAAGAAAAGCAGCAGGUUAAUACCCCGCUGUUCUGACGGUACCCAAAGAAUAAGCACCGGCUAACUUCGU